AUAAAUGUAGGUUCCUGGCACAGACUAGUGACUUUACCCAGUUUGGUUUAUUUCGUGCAGGUGGUAUGAGACCCUAAAUACUAAAACCAACAAACCAACACAGAAGAAAGGAGACAAGGUGGUGUCUGUGACAGUGAAGUUGGUGGCAGUUGGAAAAGAGGUACCCUCAGUCAUCAAGACUGUAUUGGCCACCAGGGUACCAGAUAACUGUCUUACCCAGCCAGACCAACUCAGCAGCAGCCGCAGCUCUUCGUCCCACUGCACCUCCUCCCUUUUCCAUGAGACCAAUGACAUCACCACAGCACGCACUGCUGUCCUGCAAUGUCUGCCCCUGUAUCUUGGAGAUAAUUCCAGCGAAUUCUUCCUCAGCUGCUCAGAUUCGGACUCUGCAUGUGACUUCAGCCAGGUGCCUAUUGGGGUUCUUAGAAUCAUGACUGAGGAUGCGCCACCCUUGAUUAACAGCAUUGCAAUCAUCCUUGAAGGAAACCUUGUCAUGGAUGAGAUUCCCACAACCUCUCAAGCACUUUGUCUUCUGUUCGGCGUGAUGUAUGCACCCCAUCUGGAUUACCCCAAAGAUCUAUUCCAGUAGGUCGAUGAAUCCGGUCAAGCAAUCUAGUUUCUUGCUUAAAUGCUAUUAAACUUAUACUGCUGCUGAGAGUGAAUAUCCUUCACUGCAGGCAGACUCUACUGCUCAUAGGUGGUGUGUCUCCCCCCCGCCCCGCCUGUCUGCUCACAGAGUCUGAUGGUCACUAUAACCCAUCGAUCCAGUCUAGGAUUCUUCUGCCUUUUUCAAAAAUGACCUGUGGUCUUUCUCAGAAAAACAAACAACAACAAAAAAAACCCCAGCGAGCAUUACCAUUCAUUCUUUAUUUUGUUCAGAACAAUAAAAAUAGUUUAACAAACAAA
Scatophagus argus is the source of this 906-nucleotide long non-coding RNA. RefSeq lists it as uncharacterized. The transcript has 5 exons. The record is from RefSeq and is a predicted model, not a curated record. Lineage: Eukaryota; Metazoa; Chordata; Actinopteri; Scatophagidae.